AACCGGAUUAGAUACCCUGGUAGUCCACGCUGUAAACGAUGUCGAUUUGGAGGUUGUGCCCUUGAGGCGUGGCUUCCGGAGCUAACGCGUUAAAUCGACCGCCUGGGGAGUACGGCCGCAAGGUUAAAACUCAAAUGAAUUGACGGGGGCCCGCACAAGCGGUGGAGCAUGUGGUUUAAUUCGAUGCAACGCGAAGAACCUUACCUACUCUUGACAUCCAGAGAACUUUCCCAGAGAUGGAUUGGUGCCUUCGGGAACUCUGAGACAGGUGCUGCAUGGCUGUCGUCAGCUCGUGUUGUGAAAUGUUGGGUUAAGUCCCGCAACGAGCGCAACCCUUAUCCUUUGUUGCCAGCGGUUCGGCCGGGAACUCAAAGGAGACUGCCAGUGAUAAACUGGAGGAAGGUGGGGAUGACGUCAAGUCAUCAUGGCCCUUACGAGUAGGGCUACACACGUGCUACAAUGGCGUAUACAAAGAGAAGCGACCUCGCGAGAGCAAGCGGACCUCAUAAAGUACGUCGUAGUCCGGAUUGGAGUCUGCAACUCGACUCCAUGAAGU
Molecule: ribosomal RNA, 556 nt
Filed under: uncultured Serratia sp.
Lineage: Bacteria; Pseudomonadati; Pseudomonadota; Gammaproteobacteria; Enterobacterales; Yersiniaceae
Description: bacterial SSU rRNA
Rfam family: Bacterial small subunit ribosomal RNA
Source: RNAcentral